CAGCACCCCGAGUGGUCGGGACGAUUAUUGGGCCUAAAGCAUCCGUAGCCGGUCUUGCAAGUCUUCCGUUAAAUCCACCUGCUUAACAGAUGGGCUGCGGAAGAUACUACAAGACUAGGAGGCGGGAGAGGCAAGCGGUACUCAGUGGGUAGGGGUAAAAUCCUCUGAUCCAUUGAAGACCACCAGUGGCGGAGGCGGCUUGCCAGAACGCGCUCGACGGUGAGGGAUGAAAGCUGGGGGAGCAAACCGGAUUAGAUACCCGAGUAGUCC
RNAcentral lists this ribosomal RNA (270 nucleotides) under uncultured archaeon. Its description in RNAcentral is "partial 16S ribosomal RNA". It matches the Rfam family "Archaeal small subunit ribosomal RNA", at positions 477 to 747 of the family's 1478-position model. The record is from RNAcentral.